Molecule: long non-coding RNA, 808 nt
Organism: Pungitius pungitius (ninespine stickleback)
Lineage: Eukaryota; Metazoa; Chordata; Actinopteri; Perciformes; Gasterosteidae
Exons: 3
Source: RefSeq, a predicted model, not a curated record
UUAUUACUCCUUAGGCUCCCGGGAUGCCCGUGGGAUACCUCCAGUGAACGGCAGAGGGCAACGCGUCCGAUCCGGGCUACAGAUGGAGAGCUCGGUUUGUCGCUGUUAUCGACCCUGAUCGCCAGGUGCAUCAGCUGAAAGGAGACAGCAGCCUCGACUGGAAACAAUACACAAAGGGGCAAGAAAAGGCACGUGAUGCUGAUCACUACUUUUCACAUUCUGACGGAAAUACAGAUAUGAAUUCAUGAGGAACAAAGAAUGCCUUGCUUCAAGGUGUCGUAUAGUUAUCGUUUGCCGCAUGAUAACGUCACAUUAGGGAGUAUAAUUCCCGGGAUAUAAUACGCCGAAUGGUGAAGUUAUAGUCUUUGUGUUCAUAUGAUUUUAUUAUUAUUAUUUAUAUAUCGUGAUCGUUGUUAUUAUGACAUCGCAUCGCUGCUUCCGUGUAAAAUCCGGCCUCUGUAAAACACCACUUUCCUCUCUGCUCUUCUUCCAUGUGUGUGUGUGUGUGUGUGUGUGUGUGUGUAUGUGUGUAUGUGUGUGUUGUUAUUGGACCGAAGACUGUACUCCUCUCCAAUAGCAUCCUAGCGGCAGUGAAUGGAGGAAUGAAAAAAAAAAAAAAAAAAGAGAAGUGCAUCCAUGCAUGCAGGAGUGGGAGGAUCCACUCGCUUCGAUCUGGAUCGGAGACUCUCUGCAGCGGCCGGGACACAAGCAGCCGAGCGCCACAGAGUUACUGCCGGGACAUCUACACACACAUACGCCCUGCUAUUUUUGGAUUUGUUGUCAAGUUGUGUCGCUGACCUCCGCCGCC